GAAAAAAAGAUUAAGUAUCAUUAAUAAGUCAUUGAUACUACACUAUAUUCCAAAUGUCAAUAGUCUCAGUUAUUAUGAAACGCUGACCUUAAACAUGUUACAUAACUUAAUUUGCGAAGGAUACUCUGAAAAACAAAACAUCAUUGCUUAGAAAAUUAUAUCGAAUUUGUAACUAAGAUUUUUGAUACAUGUACAUAUGUGUUCUAUAUGCACUGACGCCU
RNAcentral lists this long non-coding RNA (221 nucleotides) under Mytilus galloprovincialis (Mediterranean mussel). The record is from RNAcentral. Lineage: Eukaryota; Metazoa; Mollusca; Bivalvia; Mytilida; Mytilidae.